Molecule: long non-coding RNA, 302 nt
Organism: Micropterus dolomieu (smallmouth bass)
Lineage: Eukaryota; Metazoa; Chordata; Actinopteri; Centrarchiformes; Centrarchidae
Exons: 3
Source: RefSeq, a predicted model, not a curated record
CAGUGCAUUUUUUGAAUUUGCAUCUGGGGAGAAUGUAAACAGCAGCAACAAGAUGAAAAUAUGGUUUCAUCAGACAUUCAGAACAUUUAAGAAACAGUGUCCAUGUUAACUGUGUUUGAGCCCAAGCAUCAUCAAUGUUAAACAUGAGUCCAAGUCCUCUCAUCUUGCCGGAGUAUUGCGCUGACAGGGAUGCUGCUACAUUUUACACCAACAUGUUUAUACUGAGAUUAAGUCUCGAUGCUCAGAUCAUAGAGAAGAGGACAGGGAAUAGGUAUGACCUGAAGACAGCAGGUGAGAGCAGG